This 227-nucleotide ribosomal RNA is filed under the name uncultured bacterium. RNAcentral's name for it is "partial 16S ribosomal RNA". It matches the Rfam family "Bacterial small subunit ribosomal RNA", at positions 92 to 334 of the family's 1533-position model. The record is from RNAcentral.
AGAGCGGCGAACGGGUGAGUAAUAACUAAGAAUCUACCCACAAGUCAGGGAUAGCCUGGAGAAAUCCAGGGUAAUACCGGAUGUGCCUGCAAAGGUAAAGACUUCGGUCGCUUGAGGAGGAGCUUAGUUCCUAUCAGCUAGUUGGUAAGAUAAAAGCUUACCAAGGCUAUGACGGGUAGCUGGUGUGAGAGCACGACCAGCCACAAUGGGACUGAGACACGGCCCAU